RNAcentral lists this unclassified non-coding RNA (649 nucleotides) under Exophiala bergeri. Its description in RNAcentral is "sequence contains 18S rRNA gene, ITS1, 5.8S rRNA gene, ITS2, 28S rRNA gene". The stretch from base 255 to 409 matches the Rfam family "5.8S ribosomal RNA". Lineage: Eukaryota; Fungi; Ascomycota; Eurotiomycetes; Chaetothyriales; Herpotrichiellaceae. The record is from RNAcentral.
UGGAAGUAAAAGUCGUAACAAGGUUUCCGUAGGUGAACCUGCGGAAGGAUCAUUAACGAGUUAGGGUCUUCCAAGGCCCGACCUCCCAACCCUAUGUUUAUUGUACCUUGUGUUGCUUCGGCGGGACCGUCUCACGACCGCCGGAGGGCCGUAAAACGUCCUCUGGCCCGCGCCCGCCGAUGGCCCCCCACACACAAAAUUCUGAAUAAAUCAUGCCUAAUUGUCUGAGUAUAAUACACAAAAAUUAAAAGCAAAACUUUCAACAACGGAUCUCUUGGUUCUGGCAUCGAUGAAGAACGCAGCGAAAUGCGAUAAGUAAUGCGAAUUGCAGAAUUCCAGUGAGUCAUCGAAUCUUUGAACGCACAUUGCGCCCUUUGGUAUUCCGAAGGGCAUGCCUGUUCGAGCGUCAUUUUCACCCCUCAAGCCCCCCGGCUUGGUUUUGGACGGUCUGGUUUAGGCACCGCCUAGACCCCUCCUAAAGAUAAUGACGGCGGCCUCGUUGGACCCCCGGUACACUGAGCUUCUUAACUGAGCACGUAUCGGAUCAAGGGUGCGCGGGACACGGUCUUCAACCCCCUUUUUUUCUAAGGUUGACCUCGGAUCAGGCAGGAAUACCCGCUGAACUUAAGCAUAUCAAUAAGCGGAGGAA